Molecule: ribosomal RNA, 796 nt
Filed under: uncultured Glomeromycotina
Lineage: Eukaryota; Fungi; Glomeromycota
Description: SSU rRNA
Rfam family: Eukaryotic small subunit ribosomal RNA
Source: RNAcentral
AUCAACUUUCGAUGGUAGGAUAGAGGCCUACCAUGGUGGUAACGGGUAACGGGGUGUUAGGGCACGACACCGGAGAGGGAGCCUGAGAAACGGCUACCACAUCCAAGGAUGGCAGCAGGCGCGCAAAUUACCCAAUCCCGACACGGGGAGGUAGUGACAAUAAAUAACAAUACGGGGUUCUUUCGGAUUUCGUAAUUGGAAUGAGUACAAUUUAAAUCUCUUAACGAGAAACAAUUGGAGGGCAAGUCUGGUGCCAGCAGCCGCGGUAAUUCCAGCUCCAAUAGCGUAUAUUAAAGUUGCUGCAGUUAAAAAGCUCGUAGUUGAAUUUCGGGACCAAUCUGUCGGUCGUGCCUCGGUACGCACUGGCUUAUUGGUUUCUCCCUUCUGAAGAACCGUGAUGUCAUUAAUUUGGUGUCAUGGGGAAUCAGGACUGUUACUUUGAAAAAAUUAGAGUGUUUAAAGCAGGCUCGCGCUUGAAUACAUUAGCAUGGAAUAAUGAAAUAGGACGUUUAAUUCUAUUUUGUUGGUUCUAGGAUUGACGUAAUGAUUAAUAGGGAUAGUUGGGGGCAUUAGUAUUCAAUUGUCAGAGGUGAAAUUCUUGGAUUUAUUGAAGACUAACUACUGCGAAAGCAUUUGCCAAGGAUGUUUUCAUUAAUCAAGAACGAAAGUUAGGGGAUCGAAGACGAUCAGAUACCGUCGUAGUCUUAACCAUAAACUAUGCCGACUAGGGAUCGGAUGAUGUUAAUUUUUUAAUGACUCAUUCGGCGCCUUACGGGAAACCAAAGUGUUUGGGUUC